CGGGUGAGUAAUGCGUGACCAACCUGCCCCAUGCUCCAGAAUAGCUCUUGGAAACGGGUGGUAAUGCUGGAUGCUCCAACUUGACGCAUGUCUUGUUGGGAAAGUGUUUAGUGGCAUGGGAUGGGGUCGCGUCCUAUCAGCUUGUAGGCGGGGUAAUGGCCCACCUAGGCUUCGACGGGUAGCCGGCCUGAGAAGGCGGACGGCCACAUUGGGACUGAGAUACGGCCCAGACUCCUACGGGAGGCAGCAGUG
Molecule: ribosomal RNA, 252 nt
Filed under: uncultured Gardnerella sp.
Lineage: Bacteria; Bacillati; Actinomycetota; Actinomycetes; Bifidobacteriales; Bifidobacteriaceae
Description: partial 16S ribosomal RNA
Rfam family: Bacterial small subunit ribosomal RNA
Source: RNAcentral